Oncorhynchus keta (chum salmon) is the source of this 570-nucleotide long non-coding RNA. RefSeq lists it as uncharacterized. The record is from RefSeq and is a predicted model, not a curated record. Lineage: Eukaryota; Metazoa; Chordata; Actinopteri; Salmoniformes; Salmonidae. The transcript is spliced from 3 exons.
UACUGAUCUAUAAUAACACUGACAACCCCAAGGUAAGGGACUACUGCUCUAUAAUAACACUGACCACCCCAAGGUAAGAGACUACUGCUCUAUAAUAACACUGACCACCCCAAGGUAAGAGACUACUGCUCUAUAAUAACACUGACCACCCCAAGGUAAGAGACUACUGCUCUAAUAACACUGACCACCCCAAGGUAAGAGACUACUGCUCUAUAAUAACACUGACCACCCCAAGGUAAGAGACUACUGCUCUAUAAUAACACUGACCACCCCAAGGUAAGAGACUACUGAUCUAAUAACACUGACCACCCCAAGGUAAGAGACUACUGCUCUAUAAUAACACUGACCACCCCAAGGUAAGAGACUACUGCUCUAUAAUAACACUGACCACCCCAAGGUAAGAGACUACUGCUCUAUAAUAACACUGACCACCCCAAGGUAAGAGACUACUGAUCUAUAAUAACACUGACCACCCCAAGGUAAGAGACUACUGAUCUAUAAUAACACUGACCACCCCAAGGUAAGAGACUACUGAUCUAUAAUAACACUGACCACCCCAAGGUAAGAGAC